This 459-nucleotide ribosomal RNA is filed under the name uncultured bacterium. RNAcentral describes it as "partial 16S ribosomal RNA". It matches the Rfam family "Bacterial small subunit ribosomal RNA", at positions 355 to 830 of the family's 1533-position model. The record is from RNAcentral.
UGGGGAAUAUUGGACAAUGGGGGCAACCCUGAUCCAGCAAUGCCGCGUGUGUGAAGAAGGUCUUCGGAUUGUAAAGCACUUUCGACGGGGACGAUGAUGACGGUACCCGUAGAAGAAGCCCCGGCUAACUUCGUGCCAGCAGCCGCGGUAAUACGAAGGGGGCUAGCGUUGCUCGGAAUGACUGGGCGUAAAGGGCGUGUAGGCGGUUUACACAGUCAGAUGUGAAAUCCCCGGGCUUAACCUGGGAGCUGCAUUUGAUACGUGUAGACUAGAGUGUGAGAGAGGGUUGUGGAAUUCCCAGUGUAGAGGUGAAAUUCGUAGAUAUUGGGAAGAACACCGGUGGCGAAGGCGGCAACCUGGCUCAUGACUGACGCUGAGGCGCGAAAGCGUGGGGAGCAAACAGGAUUAGAUACCCUGGUAGUCCACGCUGUAAAACGAUGUGUGCUAGAUGUUGGGUAA